AGCGUUUUCGGUGGCAGCCUGGGUAUAAAUCCUUUGGAAUAGGGUAUCAUAGAGGGUGAGAAUCCCGUCUUUGACUCAGUGCAUGCUACUAUGUGAUACGUUUUCAAAGAGUCGAGUUGUUUGGGAAUGCAGCUCAAAAUGGGUGGUAAAUUUCAUCUAAAGCUAAAUAUUGGCGAGAGACCGAUAGCGAACAAGUACCGUGAGGGAAAGAUGAAAAGAACUUUGAAAAGAGAGUUAAACAGUGCGUGAAAUUGUUGAAAGGGAAACGUUUGACACCAGUUAUGCGGGUGGAAAAUCAGUCUUUUGCAAUGGGGAGUUGUGGGCGUUCAGACCGCAAGGCUGGCGUUUGCUUCAUCUUUGUUGUAAGUGAUGCACUUUUUCAUUUGCAGGUCAACAUCAGUUUGCUUUGCUGGACAAAACCCCAAGGGAAGGUGGCAGCUUAGGCUGUGUUAUAGCCCUGGGGCGAUACAGUGGAGUGGACUGAGGUUUCGCAGUGUGUGCUCUCGGGCAAGGCUGACUGGGUGCUAUGGGAUCGUUCGGCGUACAAUGCAUGCAUUUUGCGUCGUGUCUUUUUUAUACUCGCUCAACUCGGCUCUUCCACACUUAGGAUGUUGACUUAAUGGUUUUAAACGACCCGUCUUGAAACACGGACCAAGGAGUCUAACAUAUAUGCAAGUGUUUGGGUGGCGAACCCAUGCGCGUAAUGAAAGUGAACGUAGGUGCGAUCCGCAAGGUGCAGCAUCGACCGAUCUUGAUAUUUUUGGAUAGAUUUGAGUAAGAGCAUAUAUGCUGGGACCCGAAA
This 802-nucleotide ribosomal RNA is filed under the name uncultured fungus. RNAcentral describes it as "eukaryotic LSU rRNA". It matches the Rfam family "Eukaryotic large subunit ribosomal RNA", at positions 157 to 821 of the family's 3401-position model. Lineage: Eukaryota; Fungi. The record is from RNAcentral.